Molecule: ribosomal RNA, 489 nt
Filed under: uncultured bacterium
Lineage: Bacteria
Description: partial 16S ribosomal RNA
Rfam family: Bacterial small subunit ribosomal RNA
Source: RNAcentral
AUUGAACGCUGGCGGCAGGCCUAACACAUGCAAGUCGAACGGUAACAGGAAGAAGCUUGCUUCUUUGCUGACGAGUGGCGGACGGGUGAGUAAUGUCUGGGAAACUGCCUGAUGGAGGGGGAUAACUACUGGAAACGGUAGCUAAUACCGCAUAACGUCGCAAGACCAAAAAGGGGGACCUUCGGGCCUCUUGCCAUCGGAUGUGCCCAGAUGGGAUUAGCUAGUAGGUGGGGUAACGGCUCACCUAGGCGACGAUCCCUAGCUGGUCUGAGAGGAUGACCAGCCACACUGGAACUGAGACACGGUCCAGACUCUACGGGAGGCAGCAGUGGGGAAUAUUGCACAAUGGGCGCAAGCCUGAUGCAGCCAUGCCGCGUGUAUGAAGAAGGCCUUCGGGUUGUAAAGUACUUUCAGCGGGGAGGAAGGGAGUAAAGUUAAUACCUUUGCUCAUUGACGUUACCCGCAGAAGAAGCACCGGCUAACUCCGUG